UGGGGAAUAUUGGACAAUGGGGGCAACCCUGAUCCAGCCAUGCCCGCGUGUGUGAAUGAACGCCUUCGGGUUGUAAAGCACUUUCAGUGAGUGAGGAAGGUGGUGGUCGUUAAUACCUGCAUCAAAUGACGUUAGCCACAAAAUGAACCACCGGCUAACUCCGUGCCAGCACGCCGCGCGUAAUACGGAGGGUGCGAGCGUUAAUCGGAAUUACUGGGCGUGACGCGCACGCACGUGAGUAUGUUAAGCAAGAUGUGAAAGCGUGCGAGCUCAUACUCUGGAGUAUCAUUUUGAACUGGCAUGAUAGAGUUUUGUGAGAGGGUGG
RNAcentral lists this ribosomal RNA (325 nucleotides) under Nitratireductor basaltis. RNAcentral describes it as "bacterial SSU rRNA". It matches the Rfam family "Bacterial small subunit ribosomal RNA", at positions 355 to 661 of the family's 1533-position model. The record is from RNAcentral. Lineage: Bacteria; Pseudomonadati; Pseudomonadota; Alphaproteobacteria; Hyphomicrobiales; Phyllobacteriaceae.